This 835-nucleotide ribosomal RNA is filed under the name uncultured Pseudomonadota bacterium. RNAcentral describes it as "bacterial SSU rRNA". It matches the Rfam family "Bacterial small subunit ribosomal RNA", at positions 9 to 873 of the family's 1533-position model. The record is from RNAcentral. Lineage: Bacteria; Pseudomonadati; Pseudomonadota.
AGAGUUUGAUCCUGGCUCAGAUUGAACGCUCGCGGCGUGCUUACACAUGCAAGUCGAACGAUGAACCUAGCUUGCUAGGGGAUUAGUGGCGCACGGGUGAGUAAUAUAUAGAUAACGUGCCUCUUAGUCUGGGAUAGCCAUUGGAAACGAUGAUUAAUACUAGAUACUCCUUCUCUUUAUAAUGAGAGUCGGGAAAGUUUUUCGCUAAGGGAUCGGUCUAUAUCCCAUCAGCUUGUUGGUAGUGUAAGAGACUACCAAGGCUAUGACGGGUAGCGGGUUUGAGAGGAUGAGCCACACUGGUACUGAGACACGGACCAGACUCCCUACGGGAGGCAGCAGUGAGGAAUAUUGCACAAUGGAGGAAACUCUGAUGCAGCAACGCCAGCGUGGAGGAUGACGCAUUUCGGUGUGUAAACUCCUUUUAUGAAGUCAAGAAAAUGACGGUAGCUCAUGAAUAAGCACCGGCUAACUCCGUGCCAGCAGCCGCGGUAAUACGGAGGGUGCAAGCCGUUAUCCGGAAUCACUGCGUAAAGGACGCGUAGGCGGGAAGCCAAGUCUGAUGUGAAAUCCUAUGGCUUAACCAUAGAACUGCAUUGGAAACUGGUUACCUAGAGUAUGGGAGGGGGAGAUGGAAUUAGUGGUGUAGGGGUAAAAUCCGUAGAUAUCACUAGGAAUACCGAAAGCGAAGGCGAUCUCCUGGAACAAUACUGACGCUAAGGCGUGAAAGCGUGGGGAGCAAACGGGAUUAGAUACCCCGGUAGUCCACGCCCUAAACGAUGUUCACUAGUCGUCGGGAUGCAGUCAUCUCGGUGAUCACUUACAGAUAGGACCGCCU